AAAGUAUCGAGUGGCUAAAUAUUUGAAAAGGGCCCAACUUGGAAACAAGCGCUCCCUCCAAACCAAGAUCAAGAGGAAUCGUCGGAUCGCGUGAACAGUGCUCAUUGCUGUGGAUCAAGCGAUGACAGCACAGAUUCUUAUAAAAUAUAUUAAGGACAUACAAAGGCAAUUUUUUGUAUAGAUAUUAGGCACGCUUUUCAAUGUUAUUUUUGUGUUCAUUUCAUGACAUUGCGGUGUUUGUUGCACAGCUAUGGAAGACUACAAAUGACAGAUACGGCAUGCACCCAGUCAACGGAAGGGCGAUGGAUAGAUGAAUGAACGUAUGAGAGAAAAAAACGGAUGAACAAACAAAUGAAUGACUACACUUGGAACGUAGGAAAAUUGCCGUUGAAGUCUGAUCAUUUGCAUAAUAAGAUUGUAUCACAAAUCAUCUUCCUAUGUCCACAG
Long non-coding RNA from Tigriopus californicus, 447 nucleotides. RefSeq lists it as uncharacterized. The record is from RefSeq and is a predicted model, not a curated record. The transcript has 2 exons. Lineage: Eukaryota; Metazoa; Arthropoda; Copepoda; Harpacticoida; Harpacticidae.